UGGGGAAUUUUGCACAAUGGGGGAAACCCUGAUGCAGCGACGCCGCGUGAUUUAGAAGGCCUUCGGGUUGUAAAAAUCUUUUGUAUAGGAAGAAAAUGACAGUACUAUACGAAUAAGGACCGGCUAAUUACGUGCCAGCAGCCGCGGUAAUACGUAAGGUCCGAGCGUUGUCCGGAAUCAUUGGGCGUAAAGGGUACGUAGGCGGGUAAGCAAGUUAGAAGUGAAAUCCUAUAGCGCAACUAUAGUAAGCUUUUAAAACUGCUCAUCUUGAGGUAUGGAAGGGAAAGUGGAAUUCCUAGUGUAGCGGUGAAAUGCGCAGAUAUUAGGAGGAAUACCGGUGGCGAAGGCGACUUUCUGGCCAUAACCUGACGCUGAGGUACGAAAGCGUGGGUAGCAAACAGG
This 402-nucleotide ribosomal RNA is filed under the name Bacteroidota bacterium. Its description in RNAcentral is "Bacteroidetes bacterium partial 16S ribosomal RNA". It matches the Rfam family "Bacterial small subunit ribosomal RNA", at positions 355 to 776 of the family's 1533-position model. Lineage: Bacteria; Pseudomonadati; Bacteroidota. The record is from RNAcentral.